This 465-nucleotide ribosomal RNA is filed under the name Vreelandella stevensii. RNAcentral describes it as "partial 16S ribosomal RNA". It matches the Rfam family "Bacterial small subunit ribosomal RNA", at positions 338 to 795 of the family's 1533-position model. Lineage: Bacteria; Pseudomonadati; Pseudomonadota; Gammaproteobacteria; Oceanospirillales; Halomonadaceae. The record is from RNAcentral.
CCUACGGGGGGCAGCAGUGGGGAAUAUUGGACAAUGGGGGCAACCCUGAUCCAGCCAUGCCGCGUGUGUGAAGAAGGCCCUCGGGUUGUAAAGCACUUUCAGUGAGGAAGAACGCCUGGUGGUUAAUACCCAUCAGGAAAGACAUCACUCACAGAAGAAGCACCGGCUAACUCCGUGCCAGCAGCCGCGGUAAUACGGAGGGUGCGAGCGUUAAUCGGAAUUACUGGGCGUAAAGCGCGCGUAGGUGGCUUGAUAAGCCGGUUGUGAAAGCCCCGGGCUCAACUUGGGAACGGCAUCCGGAACUGUCAAGCUAGAGUGCAGGAGAGGAAGGUAGAAUUCCCGGUGUAGCGGUGAAAUGCGUAGAGAUCGGGAGGAAUACCAGUGGCGAAGGCGGCCUUCUGGACUGACACUGACACUGAGGUGCGAAAGCGUGGGUAGCAAACAGGAUUAGAUACCCGAGUAGUC